Molecule: unclassified non-coding RNA, 253 nt
Filed under: uncultured Bacillaceae bacterium
Lineage: Bacteria; Bacillati; Bacillota; Bacilli; Caryophanales; Bacillaceae
Description: contains 16S-23S intergenic spacer region
Rfam family: Bacterial small subunit ribosomal RNA
Source: RNAcentral
UACGUAGGUGGCAAGCGUUGUCCGGAAUUAUUGGGCGUAAAGCGCUCGCAGGCGGCCUUUUAAGUCUGAUGUGAAAUCUUGCAGCUUAACUGCAAGCGGUCAUUGGAAACUGGAGGGCUUGAGUGCAGAAGAGGAGAGUGGAAUUCCACGUGUAGCGGUGAAAUGCGUAGAGAUGUGGAGGAACACCAGUGGCGAAGGCGACUCUCUGGUCUGUAACUGACGCUGAGGAGCGAAAGCGUGGGUAGCGAACAGG